AGGAGGAUCCAGGCCCCCGCCGCGGUGUCCUUUGCUCGGCGCCCGCCCCUGGCCGCGGCCCUUCCUCCGGGAGAGAUCGGGAGUGGCCAGCCAGCCUUUGGGGCCUCGCCCUGUGUUCCUCGGGGUUCCCUCUCUCUCUCCCUUUCCGUCUCCCAGUUGCUCCCUGCCCUGCUACAAGAAGCACCAAGGUAGGCCCCGACCUGCGGAACUCCCUGCUGCAGGCAUGACGAGGGGAAACAUCAGGUUUCGUCCCGGGAGUGGGUUCGCCUCCAUAUCAAUAUUGCCUCCUUUGGGCCAAGGCCCUUGUUGGCAUCACCAUCUACCGAGCAAUGUACCCCCAAAGUAGACCCAACUCAGCUGCGAAAUGUUCCCCAAGACGAUCCCAGAACAAAACCAUCAAGUGCGGAAGGAGGCCCUUUUGCUGUGGAUGACAUCUUGACGAAGAUGACGAAGGCGACAAGGUCCCGCUCCAUAACCUCCAGCGCUUAGACAAUCUCGGGACGCCGAGAGAGAAGGCAGCUUGUCUUGGGAGCCAUUCUGAAGACCUGGGUCGGAAGAAAGAAAGAAAGAAAGAAAGGGCAGCCGCGGCUAGAAGGCCCGAAGAGACAGGCUCCGUUUCUGAAGCAGAAAUGGCAAAGCCUUGUGAAACGGAUGGAAGAAAUAAAGGCAAAAUUUUUGAAAAUUUCCACAGCUUUUUCUAAAGGGACUAGCACUGAAUUCAAGUCAACGUGAAGAAAGAAACAAAAGGUCGAGAGACAGAGGACGGAAGAUGCUUGAAGACACCCUCGCAAGGACACCGCCUGCCUCCCAAAAAAGGUCGUUUUCAGGGUAAUUGGUGUAAGGGUAGGCAUUUAAUGUCUAUCUUUGCAUUAAAAAAAGGGUUACCUUUGCACACGGUUCCCCUCGCGUGUGGCAUCGAAGAAGUCCCACUCGGGAACGGACGGGUCCUCCCUUUGUUCUAGGCAGAUGAUGGGUCUUCCUAUACGGGCCGUAGGGGUCACAGCUUGGGGGUCAGCGGGGGGCCCCGCCCUGGCAUCGCAGGGGGCAGCACACAUUACGGGCAUUUUAAGAUGUCCUUGCAACUUAGAAAUAAAAAUAUCAAUACCUUAACUCACUAACAUCCUACUAACACCAUUCUAAAUAGGGUACCCUGCCCUUUUAAAUAGGACUGUGUUCUGCCUGAUGGCAAGAACCAAGCUGGGAAGGGAGGGGGCCUCCUGGCCCCCCAUAAAAGGGCCCCCAUGGAAGGACAUUGCAAAAGGCCCCUAAGGUGUCCUGAGAGCAGCCUCUUGGUCCUCAGUGUUCCCCACGGUGCCAGGGCUGGGCCCCUCGCUCUCCCCCAACCCAUGGACCCUGCCGCUUGUAUAUCAUCCGUCCAGGGCCAACGGACGCCCCCUCCCUCCCCGGGCGGAGCUUCGAGGCCACACUCAAGGGGAGACCAGAGCCGUGUGCCUCAUGCCAACGCCUAGCACGUGGCGAACCUUUUUUUUUACUGCAAACAUAGGCAUCAUGAUUGUGAUUUUUGUUAAUUCCUUUUAAAUUUAAUUGUUUGUAUUCGAUAGCAUGGUAGGCUGGUUUUAUAUCAGUGAGCCGCCCCGAGUUCCUCUGGGGAGACGGUGGCAGGGUACAAAAAUAAAAUUAUUAUUAUUAUUAUUGAUUCGAGGCACCUGGAAAAAAAUACCAGGAAGCAGAUAAAAUUAUUAUUAUUAUUACUGAUUCGAGGCACCUGGAAAAAGAAAUACCAGGAAGCAGAUAUUAUUAUUAUUAUUAUUGAUUCCAGGAAAAAGAAAUACCAGGAAGCAGAUAAAAUUAUUAUUAUUGUUAUUGUUGUUGUUAUUAUGUAGGACCCCCUUUUAUUUAUGUAAGGCCACACACCCAGGGGACCACUAUUCCUAAUUAAAGCCUGGUUAAAGGGGAUCCUCUAUUCUUAAAGUUAGGCGUAUAGAGAUCUCCUAUCCAGAAACGAACGCGGCCUGCCCUAUAGAGAUCUGUUAAACCAAGGCGGCCUGCCCUAUAGAGAUCUCCUAUUUCACGUAAUACCAGGCAAUAUGGAGAUCCCUGGUUUUUUUAACCAUUAAAUCCCUUACGUGGGGAUAUCCCUGGUUUUUUUUAACCGUUAAAUCCCUUACGUGGGGAUAUCCCUGGUUUUUUUUAACCGUUAAAUCCCUUACGUGGGGAAAUCCCUGGUUAUUUUAACCAUCAAAUCCCUUACGUGGGGAGAUCCCUGGUUAUUUUAACCUUUAAGUCCCUAACGUGGGGAAAUCCCUGGUUCUUUUAAUCUUUAAGGCCAGAUGUGGGGAUUUCCUUGCUUUUAACCCGUAAGGCCAGCCAUGGGGAGAUAUCUUAGGCUGUUUUCACGAAAAGUCAGGUAUAGAUGCACUUUUUUCUCUCCCGUUCCAUGUGCCUGGACUCCCGGAGGGCUCCUGCCGGACACCGUCUCCCAUCGGCCGAGAGGGAUCCUUCUUGUCUGGGAAGGAUCUGCAACACAGGUAAAAAGAAGAUUCCGGGAAGGAGAUUCUACAGCGGAGCCCUUAAAGCCAGGUGAGACACUCCUUCCAGCCUCCACGGCUGCCUUGCACACACACACACACACACAUGACACACACAACACACAUACACAUGUACAGCUGGGGUCCACGGGGACUCUUCCCCAAUAGAUCGGGGACUCCCACUCCGGCGAUUGGCCAUUGUAAAUGCCUUGAAGCAGUUUGGGGCUUCCGGCCAAGCGCUUGCAAAGAGAAUCCAUUCAAGGUUGGACCCCCUUUUAAAGGGCCUGGCACGUGGUAUUUAUUCCUGGCACGUGGAAAACUGCAUUUGUAAGGCAAACCCUCGUUAAAGGAGGUUUGCAAUUAAUUUAAAACCAGGCUUCUGAGGGACCCGCUGCGUUUAAAGCCAAACCUAGCAGGUGGGAACCCCUUUGGUUAACGCAAGGUGAGGGACCCUCUAUUUUUAAUAGGAUGCCUGGGAGAAUCUUAACCUAAAUGCAGGCCUAUGGGCUACAGCCUAUUCUGCAUAGCCAGGCAUGAGGGGACCCCAGAUUAUUAACUUGAGGCCUGGGAAAAGGAGAUUUUUGUAUUUAUUUAUUACAAUAUUUAUAUCCCGCCCUCUCUCCCCUUAAAAGGGGACUCAGAGCAGCUUACGUUAUAUUUACAUAUUUAUUUAUUACAAUAUUUAUAUCCCGACCUCUCCCCUUAAAAGGGGACUCAGAGUGGCUUACAAGUUAUAUUUACUUAUUUAUUUAUUACAAUAUUUAUAUCCCGCCCUCUCUCCCCUUAAAAGGGGACUCAGAGCGGCUUACAAGUGAUAUUUACAUAUUUAUUUACUACAAUAUUUAUAUCCCUCCCUCUCUCUCCUUAAAAGGGGACUCAGGGCGGCUUAACAAUAAGACGCAUAUAUAAAAAACCAUACAGUGCAAUAUAAAUCAUCAUUAACUUACAUCAGUAUUCAUAAAACACAUUAUAAAAUACAGAUAGGUGUGUUCAGUUCAAAUCCAUUCAAGGUAUACGUGGACCCCCUUUUAAUGCCUACCUUUCCACGUGGAAAACUCCCAUUUGUAAGGCAAACCCUCGUUAAAGGAGGUUUGCAAUUAAUUUAAAACCAGGCUUCUGAGGGACCCGCUGCGUUUAAAGCCAAACCUAGCAGGUGGGAACCCCUUUGGUUAAUGCAAGGUGAGGGACCCUCUAUUUUUAAUAGGAUGCCUGGGAGAAUCUUAACCUAAAUGCAGGCCUAUGGGCUACAGCCUAUUCUGCAUAGCCAGGCAUUGGGGGACCCCAUAUGAUGAAUUUGCAGCCUGGUAAAAGGAGAUUUUUGUAUUUAUUAACUUAUUACAUUUAUAUCCCGCCCUCUCUCCCCUUAAAAGGGGACUCAGAGCGGCUUACGAGUUAUAUUUACUUAUUUAUUUAUUUAUUACAAUAUUUAUAUCCCGCUGUCUCCCCUUAAAGGGGACUCAGACGGCUUACGAGUUAUAUUUACAUAUUUAUUUAUUUAUUACAAUAUUUAUAUCCCGCUGUCUCUCCCCUUAAAGGGGACUCAGAGUGGCUUACAAGUUAUAUUUACAUAUUUAUUUAUUACAAUAUUUAUAUCCCUCCCUCUCUCCUUAAAAGGGGACUCAGGGCGGCUUAACAAUAAGACGCAUAUAUAAAAAACCAUACAGUGCAAUAUAAAUCAUCAUUAACUUACAUCAGUAUUCAUAAAACACAUUAUAAAAUACUGAUAGGUGUGUUCAGUUCAAAUCCAUUCAAGGUAUACGUGGACUCCCUUUUAAUGCCAACCUUUCCACGUGGAAAACUCCAUUUGUAAGGCAAACCCUCGUUAAAGGAGGUUUGCAAUUAAUUUAAAACCAGGCUUCUGAGGGACCCGCUGCGUUUAAAGCCAAACCUAGCAGGUGGGAACCCCUUUGGUUAACGCAAGGUGAGGGACCCUCUAUUUUUAAUAGGAUGCCUGGGAGAAUCUUAACCUAAAUGCAGGCCUAUGGGCUACAGCCUAUUCUGCAUAGCCAGGCAUUGGGGGACCCCAUAUGAUGAAUUUGCAGCCUGGUAAAAGGAGAUUUUUGUAUUUAUUAACUUAUUACAUUUAUAUCCCGCCCUCUCUCCCCUUAAAAGGGGACUCAGAGCGGCUUACGAGUUAUAUUUACAUAUUUAUUUAUUUAUUUAUUACAAUAUUUAUAUCCCGCUGUCUCCCCUUAAAGGGGACUCAGACGGCUUACGAGUUAUAUUUACAUAUUUAUUUAUUUAUUACAAUAUUUAUAUCCCGCUGUCUCUCCCCUUAAAGGGGACUCAGGGCAGCUUAACAAUAAAACGCAUAUAUAAAAACCAUACAGUGCAAUAUAAAUCAUCAUUAACUUACAUCAGUAUUCAUAAAACACAUCAUAAAAUACAGAUAGGUGUAUUACAUACACUGUAUCAUUAGCAUUGCACAAUAUUAGCAUUAUAUACUACAUUGCAUUAUACCACUAUACAGAAACAUUAUUAGCAAUAUUACAUUUAAUAUAUAAUAUGUAAUUCAUAUUAUAUUGUAUCAUUGUUAGUAUUAUAUUGCAUUAUUUAUUUAUUUGCUAGAUGUAGAGUCAUCUACAUAAAUAGGCCAGCGAAUAUUUAUUUAUUUAUUUACAGCAUUUUACUGGGCUGGCCUCGAACUCAUGACCUCCUGGUCAGAGUGAUUUGUUGAUAUUUAUUAUUCAUUUACAGCAUUUAUAUUCCGCCCUUCCUUCUCACCCCGAAGGGGACUCAGGGCGGAUCACAUGGCACAUAUAGGCAAACAUUCAAUGCCUUUUAACAUAGAACAAAGACAAACAAACAGGCUCCGAGCGGGCCUCGAACUCGUGACUUCCUGGUCAGAGUGAUUCAUUGCAGUUAAUUGCAGCUGGCUUGCUUUCCAGCCUGCGCUGUUGGAUAAUAAGGAGGCAUUAUGGAAAAGCCUAUUAAACAUCAAAUUAGUUGAUGAUUUUACAAAUUAAGCACCAAAACAUCAUUUGACAGAAAAAGUAGUUCAAUAUGCAGUAAUGCUAUGUAGUAAUUACUGUAUUUACGGAUUUAGCACCAAAACAUCACGACGCAUUGAAAACAUGGACUACAAAAAUGCGUUGAAUAAUCCAGAAUGUUGGAUAAGAGAGUGUUGGAUGAUUAUACAAUAUAAAUUAGAAUAGCAUGUUAUUGGGGGAGGAGCAUCUUGGUUAUUAGAUGUUUUUAUUAGUUAUUGAUAUUAGUAUAGAUAUGACAUUGAGUAUAUAUUAUCCUAGCACAAUGUUAAUAUUAGUUAUUCAUAUUAGUCUCAAUAUGACAUUAAUAGAGUACAUUAUUAUCCUAGCACAAUGUUAUUAGAUGUUAAUAUUAGUUAUUGAUAUUAGUCUCCAUAUGACAUUAAUAGAGUAUAUUAUUAUUCUAGCACAAUGUUAUUACAUAGGACCAUGUUGUUGCUAGGGGGAGGGCCCCCCCACUGAUUGUAUUAUUAGUAUUAUGUUGUUGCUAGGGGGAGGGCCCCCCAACUGAGAUCCCCUGUCAUUAAUGUGUCAGACCAGGCAUUUCACUCCUACCUUUGCAUCAGAAAGCAGGCUCCCUGUGCGCUAGGCCUUCCUUUGAGGAACACAUUCACAGCUCCGCUUGAGUGUGGCAUUGAGGCCCCACUCAGGGACGAGCGGGUCCUCCCUUUACCCUGGGCAGAUCGUGGGGGGUGGGCGGAUCUCCCUAGACGGGCAGGGGGUCGCGGCUGGCGGGACAGCGGGAUAUAAAAAUAUAAAUAUAUAUAUUAAAACCCUUGCACCCAAGGAAACAACUCUGGGGACCCGAGCGGCUGCUCCCAGCUCACGUCACGGGCAUUUUAAACAUCUCGUAGCAGCUCAGAUUAAUACCUGAACUAACCGUAACCUGCUAACCCUACUAACCCAUUUCUAACUAGAGCAGGAAUUUUAAAUAGGGCUGUUUUUGCCUGUUGGCAAGAACCAAGCUGGGAGGGGGCCUCCGGGCCUCGGGUGGGAAGAACCCUAACCCUGUCUCUGCCCUGCGCUGGGAGCGCCCCCCCUCGGGACCCCAGUGUUUGGUCCCCGCUCUCCCCCAAUCCGACGGCCUAGAAAGCCCCUCCGCCAUCCGCCCAGGGCCAACGGACAGCCCUCCCUCCCCGGCAGCUGCGUUCCUCAUGCAACAGGGAGCCUGGUUCUGGAUGCAAACGUGGGACCCCCUUAGGACCCCCUUUUCUCUGUGCAGGGACCCCCGCUCCCCAUAAAUAAAUGCCUGGUGGAAGGGGAUCCUAGUACAAAAAGCCACAGUUCCCAAGAGCCCCCAAAAGCGAGAUGCUCCCUUGGUUCAGCCCUUCUGACACUUGUUUUCUCCCUUGUUCUAUGUCUCCGGAAUCGCCGAGGGAGGGGCUCCUCCUGGACAAGAGCCAAGGACGGACAGAUGGAUGGACGGACGGACGUAAGGAGAUCCCAGAGAGCAGGACGCCUUGCCGUUCUGGCUGAUGAGCUCGACCCCUUUCCAACAAUGUCAGCGUUCCAGAAUAAAACUCUUCCCAAAAAAAGGUGUUUUCUGGUUAUUAUUCAAACGUUUAAUUUUUGACAGCCUUAAACAUCUAGAUUACAAUACAGUUUGUGCUGCUGCCUUUUAUAAACCUUGUUUUCUACAAAUAAAGUCAAGAGAAACACUUUAAGUUUUGCACUGUGCUCAGACUCAUUGUUCUGAUAUUCUGUCAUAUGGUUUUAUUAUUUAUAUCGUUUUUAAUGUAUGACUUUAUUACAUGUGACAUGGGAGCGGGGUAUAAAAAUAAAGUAUUAUUAUUAAUAAACACAAUUUUCUUGCACCCCAAGUACAUCUGGCCAUUGCCAGAGUAUUUAACACUGCCUACAUGGCACUAAAGUGUAUUUAUAUGUUGAUUGUUUCUAUUGAUUUUAUGUAAUGUUUGCUUUAUUUGCAUUGAAUUUUUGUCUGGAUGUAUCUUGUAUGCCGCUCAUCUCCAUAAAUGAGCGGGAUAGAAAUGAGGUUAAUAAUUUUACGAAUGUUUUAAUGUAACUUGAAUUUUAAAUUGAGUUGAAAUGUGAUUGUAAUUGUUUAUAACUGUUAUCUAUUUGUAAGCCACCAUGAGUCUCCUCUUAUUGGGUGAGAAGGUCUGGGAAGAAAUACUGUCAUAAAUAAAUAAAAUAUUCUGUGUCCAGGUUGCUUCAUGGGUUGACUUCUCUGGCAGGAUUAAUCUGCAGAGCCUUUCCUGUGUGAAAGUACACAGGGACUACUAACAAGCAUGGAGCAGGGAAGGCACUGCAGACACUCCUGCGCAUGCGCGGCCUGCUCCCUAGUAGAAACGGCCCCGCCUACUACAGCCAUCCUUUUCCCUUCUGCGGCUGCGCGGCCUGUUCCGUAUUUGAGGGAACUUGGCCCCGCCCACUACAGGCACCCCUUUCCUUUCUGCGGCUGCGCGGCCUGUUCCAUAUUUGGGGGAACUUAGCCCCCACCCACUGCAGGCAUUCCCUUCACUUCUGCGUCUGCGCGGCCUACGUCACAGGGCGGCAAGAUGGUUGCCCGGCCCGCAGUGGCCCAUGUACAUGCUGGACUACGGCGGCCUCAAUGUUCCGCUUCCGGGAGCCAUGAAUUAUUCGGACCUCAGUUUCUGAACCAGAACCUCCGAACAAAACAAAACAAAAGAAAUAAUGAACGGUGUGUAAUUUUCGUUUGUACAAAGUGUAUAUUAUUCCAAUAUGUAUUGAUGCCUUUCAGUGUUUCCAAUGAUUUUUACACUAUAUUCCUGCCGCCAGGGCCUUUUUAAAUAAAAAAAGAAUAAGAAGGGUUGCCUUGCUCUGAAAAAUCAAA
Anolis carolinensis (green anole) is the source of this 8291-nucleotide long non-coding RNA. RefSeq lists it as uncharacterized. Lineage: Eukaryota; Metazoa; Chordata; Lepidosauria; Squamata; Anolidae. The transcript has 7 exons. The record is from RefSeq and is a predicted model, not a curated record.